AGCUCCAAUAGCGUAUAUUAAAUUUGUUGCAAUUAAAAGGUCGUAAUUUGAAUUAUGGACGGAGCGGUUGGUGCGACUCUCUGAGUUGUUAAUUGCAUCAUAUUUGGUCAUCCUUAAGUAAAACUACCUGUUAUUAGGUUGUCAGGCAAGGGGUGAACAUUGUUUACUGUGAAAAAUUAGAGUUUCCAAAGCAGGUUUACGCCGUUGAAUAGACUAGCACGGAAUAAUUAUAUAGGACCCUUGCACUAUUUUUUUUUGGGUAAUGAUUAACAGGGACAAUUGGGGAUAUUUAUAUUUCAGUGGAAAGGGUGAAAUUCUUGGAUUUUUGAAAGACAAGCAACUGCAAAAUCAUUUAUCAAGAAUAUUUUCA
RNAcentral lists this ribosomal RNA (370 nucleotides) under uncultured eukaryote. Its description in RNAcentral is "SSU rRNA". It matches the Rfam family "Eukaryotic small subunit ribosomal RNA", at positions 587 to 972 of the family's 1831-position model. The record is from RNAcentral.